UUUCUUUAUAACUUAUUUUUUUUUGCGAAUUUACUUCUGCAUAUUGCACUAAUAGUAACACUAAUAGUACUUUUUUUACACGCCAAUUAACUUAAUCGAUGAUUAACCCGGAACGAUCUCUCCUAAGAGAAUAAUUAACUUAUACAACUGUUGUAUAAGUUAUCCAUCCUCUUGGAAGCACUUUUGAUCUUAGCUUUGUUCCAGGUAUUGUUGUGAAAUAAGUAAAAGAGUUUGAGAACAGUGAAAGACAAAAUAAAACAAGCGAAAUGAGUGGAAGAAAACAACCAAGCUGUGCAGUGUUCCAUUAUGUACUAAUAUUGAAAAUUAUAAUAUAGAGCGACGAUAUUUUUUUAGAUUUCCAAAAGAGCAUGACAGAUUACCUGUGAUGAUUGUGAAGCCAGCUAUGUUGGUCAAACAAAAAGGAAAUUGAGUACCAGACUAAAAGAACAUAUAUCUGACAUUAGAAAAAGGACAGGUUCUCCCUCCCUCUGUCAUUACUGACCAUCGUAUCAAUUUUGACCACAAUUUUAAAUGGAAUGAUGUCCAAAUUUUAGACAUUGAAUCUUUUUACAAUAAGAGAUUGGUGUCUGAAAUGAUUCACAUCAAAAGAAAUGUGGAGUUUUUCGCAAUUUACAUUAUUUGAUGAUUGCUUUGUUGAUGGACUCUUGCCAAUUUGCGCCGAUAUGAUUAAGUCUUCAAUAGCGAGUGAGAUUAAAUACCCACAUCACAGAAUUUAUAUACAUAUUUUUGUAUACAUAUUUUGUGAAUUUCUAUAAU
Molecule: long non-coding RNA, 777 nt
Organism: Cyphomyrmex costatus
Lineage: Eukaryota; Metazoa; Arthropoda; Insecta; Hymenoptera; Formicidae
Exons: 3
Source: RefSeq, a predicted model, not a curated record